GGUUCCGAGAGCCCCAAGCUCUCUGCAUCUGAAAAGCUGGGAAGGAAUGGCCCAAGUGCUGCGGUGAGGAUUCAAUGACAUGAUGCUCACAACACUUCGGUGAAGAACCUGGCCAGUGAGGGGAGGGUCCUGCCCACUCCAAACACACGGGCCAUACUGCCAACCUCCCUCCCAUCGGCCCCAGGCUCUCUGUACUCUGGACAGCUCUCUGGGGCAAGGUCAUGCUACCCAGUGGGCAAGGGAGCUGAGGUCACUGUCUGCUCUCCAUCCUUGUCCCUGAGUCACUGCCUGGGCCAGAAAAGGGGAAAGCCAGCCUUGCUGGCUGCAGCCACGCUCUUGGCUCCACUGGUUCUGGGGAUCCUUAUUGUCCCUCAGGGUCUGCUAAUGCCUGGGGUCCAGCAGUUGCCGAGGACAGCAGGCAGACAGUAGAGUCAGGAGCCCUCUCUCCACUUCGCUGCCUGUGUCCCACAGAGCCUGCCUCUGGGGAAGCUGUGAGGUGUGUGGUGUUUUUUUCCAGUCCCUUCUGCUGGUGUCAGGUCGGCCGCCCACAAGCCGCCCACCCAGGGUGCUCACAUCAGCUACCUUCACUGUGACCCACGGCUCUUGGCUCACUCAUACCGAAAGCUGGCUGGCAUCCUGGAGAACUCAUGCCCCCUCACACGGAAGCCAUGGAAUUUCCCCAGUAAGGUGUCUUUGGCAACUCCAAGGCCACAGGAAGGUCAUAGCUGGUGAGACACAGAAUGUGAGGGAGGAAGCGCCAGCCCUGGCCACACUGGGCCCCCCUCCCAAGGGGACAGGAAAGCUCCCAGUCUCCGCAGACAGGAAUCUGACACAACCAGGGAGCACUGCAGCUGCAGGCGGGUCUCACGUUUCACACCUGACACCAGACUCCCCCAUCUAGAGCUGGAGUUCUCAGCCCCGGCUGCAUCCAAGACCAGGUUACUCCCAGAGGGUGUUUCCAUGGAUUUGCCCACCUCAGGACAGCCUCACCUGUGUUUCGUGCCUUGGGAAAAAGUUUACUGAACCCUGGCCCAAGUGAUUAAGUGAAGAUGAACUCAGGACAAAGACAUCACAUAGGAUUUCAGGGGCCCACAGUUGCCAGCUCUUCAGCCCAAGAACUGGAAGAAAAGCCAAAUAAAUAAAGUCAACUACACUCAUAAUCCACAGAGAAGGAUAAAAGCAGAAAGCUCCCCCCUUCCCCGCCUUUGGAAUAGCAUGUCCCCUGAGACAUAAUGUGGGUCACAGUGUGACUUCAUGAAGUUCUAAGUUUUAUUAACAUCCAGAAUAAGAUGACAUACCCACAGUCAAAUAAAUCCAGGCAUUUAAAAAUAACUCACAUAUCUUCUCACAAAAGACCUGCCAUUGUAACUCACUGAAAUGUAAGAAAGAAAGAAAAAAAAGGAAAAGAAAAACCUGAAUGAUUUUAUACAAUCUGUGAGUUCACAUGAAGGAAAGAAAGCACCAACAGAAUGGAACUGACUCCUGCAACAGCCAGUUGGGCUUACCCCUCAGAUCAGAAACUACCUCUCUGGCCUUGACUGAGAGAACGAUUUUUGCUAAAAGAAACUUUGUUAUACUGCCCCAAAUGUUACUCAAGACCCAAGUUAUAAAGCACAUCUUUAAAAAUUGUUAA
Long non-coding RNA from Bubalus bubalis (water buffalo), 1633 nucleotides. RefSeq lists it as uncharacterized. NCBI's taxonomy places the organism in Eukaryota, Metazoa, Chordata, Mammalia, Artiodactyla, Bovidae. The record is from RefSeq and is a predicted model, not a curated record. The transcript is spliced from 5 exons.